GAUGAACGCUGGCGGCGUGCCUAAUACAUGCAAGUCGAGCGAACGGACGAGAAGCUUGCUUCUCUGAUGUUAGCGGCGGACGGGUGAGUAAAACGUGGAUAACCCACCUAUAAGACUGGGAUAAAUUCGGGAAACCGGAGCUCAAACAGGAUAAUAUUUUGAACUGUAUGAUUCAAAAGUGAAAGACGGUCUUGCUGUCACUUAUAGAUGGAUCCGCGUUGCAUUAGCUAGUUGGUAAGGUAACGGCUUACCAUGGCAACGAAGCAUAGCCGACCUGAGCGGGUGAUGGGCCACACUGGAACUGAAACACGGUCCGGACUCCUACGGGAGGGAGGAGAAGGGUGUCGUCCGCUAUGGGAGGAAGCCUGGCGGGACGACGCCGCGUGGGUUGUGAGGGGCUUCGGAUCGUGAAACUCUGUUAUUAGGGAAGAGCAUAAGUGUAGGUAACUGUGCACAUCUUGACGGUACCUGGUCAGAAAGCCACGGCUAACUACGUG
RNAcentral lists this ribosomal RNA (497 nucleotides) under uncultured bacterium. RNAcentral's name for it is "partial 16S ribosomal RNA". It matches the Rfam family "Bacterial small subunit ribosomal RNA", at positions 28 to 507 of the family's 1533-position model. The record is from RNAcentral.